GUGCCAGCCGCCGCGGUAAUACCGGCAGCACGAGUGAUGGCCGAUCUUAUUGGGCCUAAAGCGUCCGUAGCCGGCCGGACAAGUCCGUUGGGAAAUCCACGUGCCCAACACGUGGGCGUCCAGCGGAAACUGUCCGGCUUGGGGCCGGAGGACUCGAGGGGUACGUCCGGGGUAGGAGUGAAAUCCUGUAAUCCUGGACGGACCACCGGUGGCGAAAGCGCCUCGAGAGGACGGACCCGACGGUCAGGGACGAAAGCUAGGGUCUCGAACCGGAUUAGAAACCCCGGUAGUCC
This 293-nucleotide ribosomal RNA is filed under the name uncultured bacterium. RNAcentral's name for it is "partial 16S ribosomal RNA". It matches the Rfam family "Archaeal small subunit ribosomal RNA", at positions 455 to 747 of the family's 1478-position model. The record is from RNAcentral.